RNAcentral lists this ribosomal RNA (421 nucleotides) under uncultured Porphyromonadaceae bacterium. RNAcentral's name for it is "bacterial SSU rRNA". It matches the Rfam family "Bacterial small subunit ribosomal RNA", at positions 356 to 774 of the family's 1533-position model. The record is from RNAcentral. Lineage: Bacteria; Pseudomonadati; Bacteroidota; Bacteroidia; Bacteroidales; Porphyromonadaceae.
GAGGAAUAUUGGUCAAUGGGCGAGAGCCUGAACCAGCCAAGUCGCGUGAAGGAAGACUGCCUUAUGGGUUGUAAACUUCUUUUAUACAGGAAUAAAAAGGCUUACGUGUAGGCCAUUGCAAGUACUGUAUGAAUAAGCAUCGGCUAACUCCGUGCCAGCAGCCGCGGUAAUACGGAGGAUGCGAGCGUUAUCCGGAUUUAUUGGGUUUAAAGGGUGCGCAGGCGGGCUUUUAAGUCAGCGGUGAAAUCUGGACGCUUAACGUCCAAACUGCCGUUGAAACUGUGGAGCUUGAGUGAAGUAGAGGUAGGCGGAAUUCCAGGUGUAGGAGUGAAAUCCGUAGAUAUCUGGAGGAACAUCAGUGGCGAAGGCGGCCACCUGGACCGGUAUUGACGCUGAGGUGCGAAAGCGUGGGGAGCAAACA